Molecule: long non-coding RNA, 806 nt
Filed under: Arabidopsis lyrata
Lineage: Eukaryota; Viridiplantae; Streptophyta; Magnoliopsida; Brassicales; Brassicaceae
Description: long non-coding RNA (ALYR_LNC001052)
Source: RNAcentral
UCUAUUUUCCUAAUCAUUGAUAGUUUGUUCUUAACUAAAUGAAUAAAAAUGUAGUAAUUUUGCAGUGUUGUUCUACUUGGCCGUCUCUUAUCUUUCAGCAGCACCUCUACUUCUUUUCUUUUGAAUCCUGAAAGAAAUAAUUAUAUUGAUAAACAAUUGAUUUGUAUUAUUAGCAAGUUAAUCGAUGAUGUAGGUAGGACCUAAUGAUUCACAUUUACAGCUUGGUGAAAAUAUAAUUAGCUCAUCAUAUUAAAGAUUCGAACACGUAUGUGUCACUUUUCUUUUCGACAAUCUUUGUGACUUGCAAAGCAUAUUAUUCGUCUCCUUCAGAUUUUCCCAUGCUUAAGAAUCUGAAAAAGUUAAGUUUCACACAUGGCGACUCUUAUCUUUGUGAAAAUCUCCCUAAUUGACAAUAUUUUGCACUAAAAGAAUGAAAUUCUAGAAUUUCAAGAAUAACGAAGGUCUUUGGAAAUUACUUUUGGUUGCAAAUACGAAAACCUUACACAAUUCAGAAAGUGGAUCCAUAUUGUAGUCAUCUUUGCUGCCGUUGACGUCCUUAAUAAAUCCUUGCAAGAUCUUCUUUCGCGUAGUCCUUUUAUUCCUGCAGAUAUAUUGUUCUAAUACCAUAAAUAAUCUGAAUUUUUGUUGGAAGAGAAAGUGGAACCAUACCGUAGUCGUCAUCAAUAAGCGUGACGAAUUAUAAACUGGAGAUGAACGCUAGGGUUCUGUGUGCAGCGGCGUUUCGAGGAUCGCAAGCCUUGUCGUUUUUCAUGCCUUGCGGGUGGACGGUGGUGAUAUAUCGAUCU